Molecule: ribosomal RNA, 440 nt
Filed under: uncultured bacterium
Lineage: Bacteria
Description: partial 16S ribosomal RNA
Rfam family: Bacterial small subunit ribosomal RNA
Source: RNAcentral
CCUACGGGAGGCAGCAGUGGGGAAUAUUGGACAAUGGGGGAAACCCUGAUCCAGCGACGCCGCGUGAGUGAAGAAGUAUUUCGGUACGUAAAGCUCUAUUAGCAGGAAAGAAAAUGACGGUACCUGUCUAAGAAGCUCCGGCUAACUACGUGCCAGCAGCCGCGGUAAUACGGAGGGGGCAAGCGUUAUCCGGAUUUACUGGGUGUAAAGGGAGCGUAGUCGGCUGCGCAGGUCUGGAGUGAAAUGUCGGGGCCCAACCCCGGACCUGCCCUGGAAACUGUGAAGCUGGAGUGCAGGAGAGGUAAGCGGAAUUCCUGGUGUAGCGGUGAAAUGCGUAGAUAUCAGGAGGAACACCGGCGGCGAAGGCGGCUUACUGGACUGUAACUGACGUUGAGGCUCGAAGGCGUGGGGAGCAAACAGGAUUAGAUACCCUAGUAGUC